UUAAGGAGUUUAGCUGAGGGCACUGAAAAUGCCGUCAAGUUUCCUAGGUUACUGAUUGAUAUGGUUUGGAUCUGCAUCCCUGCCAAAUCUCAUGUUGAAUUGUAAUCCCUAAUGUUGGAGUUGGGACCUGGGGGAAGGGGGAGUGGAUCACGGAGCAGAUUUCUCACGAAUGGUUAUGCAGCAUCCUGUUGGAACUCUCCUUAUGAUCUCGAGUGAGAAAACCAGAGACCUUUGUUCACUUGUUUGUCUGCUGACCUUCCCUCCACUAGUGUCCUAUGACCCUGCCAAAUCCCCCUCUGUGAGAAACACCCAAGAAUGAUCAAUAAAAAUAAAAUAAAAUUAAAAAA
RNAcentral lists this long non-coding RNA (347 nucleotides) under Pan troglodytes (chimpanzee). RNAcentral describes it as "long non-coding RNA NONPTRT001682". Lineage: Eukaryota; Metazoa; Chordata; Mammalia; Primates; Hominidae. The record is from RNAcentral.